CUGUAUUAACAAGGAACUUUGCACAUUGAAACAUCAUCAUGACACAGUGGCAGAAACCACAGACCAAGCAAUCUUGAUGAGCAUGAUGAAAAGUGCAGAGCUGGAACAAUCAAGGUUUAUUGAAGAAAAAAAGCCCUUUCAAUCAAUAUCCAAGCAAAAAGUCUCAGAGAAUGCUGUAUCUUGAGUUGUUCUUAGAUACUUUAUCUCUGCUUCUUCCUAAUAGUAGCUCUCUUGGAUUUAUCACAACUUUUCAUGUUGUAGAACACUGUGGGAACAGCUUAAAAGUUUUUAAAUAUGCUACAUCCAAUACUGUGUGCGUUAUUCAUUAAA
This is a long non-coding RNA of Oxyura jamaicensis (ruddy duck), 330 nucleotides long. RefSeq lists it as uncharacterized. The record is from RefSeq and is a predicted model, not a curated record. NCBI's taxonomy places the organism in Eukaryota, Metazoa, Chordata, Aves, Anseriformes, Anatidae. The transcript is spliced from 2 exons.